CGGAAAGAGCGGAGUAUCGCUCCCGGUCGCAAGGCCGGGGGAGGAAAGUCCGAACACCACAGGGCACGAUGCCGCGUAACCUGCGCCCGAGUCCUCGGGGCCGGCAGGGUACACGCGGGCGGCGACGCCGCGAGGCGUCCCGACGGACAGUGCCACAGAAAACAAACCGCCUGUGCGCCGUCCGCGACCGGAAGGCUGCGGGCAGGCGCACCGGUAAGGGUGAAAAGGUGGGGUAAGAGCCCACCGCUCGGAGCGUAAGCGACGAGGCACGGAAAACCCCAUCGGGUGCAAGGCCAAAUAGGGGACGUCGAAGUGGCCCGCUUCGGUUCCGCCCCAAGCGGAACGCGUCCCGGGUUCUGGCCGCUCAGACAAAUGAUACUCUCCUCCGGGGGAUGACCCCGGAGCAGACAGAAUUCGGCUUACAGCUCUUUCCGGGGC
Molecule: RNase P RNA, 438 nt
Filed under: Verrucomicrobiota bacterium
Lineage: Bacteria; Pseudomonadati; Verrucomicrobiota
Also listed under: 3 other names
Description: RNase P RNA component class A
Rfam family: Bacterial RNase P class A
About the family: Ribonuclease P (RNase P) is a ubiquitous endoribonuclease, found in archaea, bacteria and eukarya as well as chloroplasts and mitochondria. Its best characterised activity is the generation of mature 5'-ends of tRNAs by cleaving the 5'-leader elements of precursor-tRNAs.
Source: RNAcentral